GACUCAAUGGUCUAGUGGUAAAGCGUUGGCCACAAAGCUAGUGGGUCCUGGGUUCGAUCCCUAGUAGGGUCG
This 72-nucleotide transfer RNA is filed under the name Schistosoma japonicum. RNAcentral describes it as "tRNA-OTHER". It matches the Rfam family "tRNA". From Rfam's summary of the family: Transfer RNA (tRNA) molecules are approximately 80 nucleotides in length. Their secondary structure includes four short double-helical elements and three loops (D, anti-codon, and T loops). The record is from RNAcentral. Lineage: Eukaryota; Metazoa; Platyhelminthes; Trematoda; Strigeidida; Schistosomatidae.